RNAcentral lists this ribosomal RNA (524 nucleotides) under uncultured cyanobacterium. RNAcentral describes it as "bacterial SSU rRNA". It matches the Rfam family "Bacterial small subunit ribosomal RNA", at positions 67 to 634 of the family's 1533-position model. The record is from RNAcentral. Lineage: Bacteria; Bacillati; Cyanobacteriota.
CGGGAAUCUUCGGAUUCUAGUGGCGGACGGGUGAGUAACGCGUAAGAAUCUAACUUCAGGACGGGGACAACAGUUGGAAACGACUGCUAAUACCCGAUGUGCCGCAAGGUGAAAACUAAUUGGCCUGAAGAAGAGCUUGCGUCUGAUUAGCUAGUUGGUGGGGUAAGAGCCUACCAAGGCGACGAUCAGUAGCUGGUCUGAGAGGAUGAGCAGCCACACUGGGACUGAGACACGGCCCAGACUCCUACGGGAGGCAGCAGUGGGGAAUUUUCCGCAAUGGGCGAAAGCCUGACGGAGCAACGCCGCGUGAGGGAGGAAGGUCUUUGGAUUGUAAACCUCUUUUCUCAAGGAAGAAGUUCUGACGGUACUUGAGGAAUCAGCCUCGGCUAACUCCGUGCCAGCAGCCGCGGUAAUACGGGGGAGGCAAGCGUUAUCCGGAAUUAUUGGGCGUAAAGCGUCCGCAGGUGGUCAGCCAAGUCUGCCGUCAAAUCAGGUUGCUUAACGACCUAAAGGCGGUGGAAACU